Ailuropoda melanoleuca (giant panda) is the source of this 728-nucleotide long non-coding RNA. RefSeq lists it as uncharacterized. The transcript has 3 exons. The record is from RefSeq and is a predicted model, not a curated record. NCBI's taxonomy places the organism in Eukaryota, Metazoa, Chordata, Mammalia, Carnivora, Ursidae.
GACAACAAGGAAUCAUUCUGUUCAUCCUAAGAGAGGAAAUUUAAGGAGAAACAACAUGACAUCUUCAAAUAUGCUUUCACAAAUUACAAUUAAUUAAAUCCUUUUGGAAUUAUGAAGUCCAUCCAUGUUUAGCAAGGAAUUAAACACAGAGGAACACAAGUGUGAAGAGAGUGAUCAACGUUAGGAAAAAAAAGGACGAGUUUGUGACAAGGAGCUGGACACUGGAUGCAGGAGAACAGAAGGAGAACGGCAUCGUGUUCACAUCUUGAGUCGUUGUACCUCUGAAAGCAGGAGUACAAUGAAGAGAAAUACCAGAGCCUGAGAGCAGUGAGGCUGGCUUGGGGAGGGGAACAGGAGUUCCGUCGUAAGCUGAACUUGAAGCGUCAACAGAACACCCAGGUUAAAAAGUCUAGCGCGUAUUUGGCACCCAGCUGUGUGAUCUGAAGCCUCUUCAAGCCUCUAUGUUUUAGUCUACACAAUGAGAAGUACAGCUGACUGGCUAACGACUACACGGCACUAAGAUACUGCCCGGCACCGAGCCAGCCCUUACGUGGUAACUAUUACAACUGUUGGAAAUGGGGGAGGUGAGUCAGAAGCAGGAAGAACACCUAUGAGGAAGUUCUUUCAACAGGCCAGACAACGUAUUUUAUUGACAGACCCUGUGGGUUUUACCUUCUUCACAGUGACUCUACUCUGCCCUAUCACCCCGCUUCCUUCAGACUCCCUCC